ACGGCUCAGUAACACGUGGCUAAUCUGCCCUUGGGACCAGAACACCCCCGGGAAACUGGGGCUAAUUCUCGAUAGGUGAAGAACUCUGGAAUGAGUCUUUGCCAAAAAGUUGUUAAGGUUAUGCUCUUUGACAACGCCCAAGGAUGAGGCCGCGACCGAUCAGGUUGUUGGUGAGGUAAUGGCUCACCAAGCCUUUUACCGGUGCGGGCCGUGAGAGCGGGAGCCCGGAGAUGGGCACUGAGACAAGGGCCCAGGCCCUACGGGGCGCAGCAGUCGCGAAAACUUUGCAAUAAGCGAAAGCUUGACAGGGCUAUCCCGAGUGCCAUCCGCUGAGGAAGGCUUUUACCCAGUCUAGAACGCUGGGGGAAUAAGGAGAGGGCAAGUCUGGUGUCAGCCGCCGCGGUAAUACCAGCUCUCCGAGUGGUGUGGAUGUUUAUUGGGCCUAAAGCAUCCGUAGCUGGCUAAGUUAGUCCCUUGUUAAAUCCACCGAAUUAAUCGUUGGAUCGCGGGGGAUACUGCUUGGCUAGGGGACGAGAGAGGCAGACGGUAUUUCCGGGGUAGGGGUGAAAUCCUAUAAUCCCGGGAAGACCACCAGUGGCGAAGGCUGUCUGCUAGAACGCGCCCGACGGUGAGGGAUGAAAGCUGGGGGAGCGAACCGGAUUAGAUACCCGGGUAGUCCCAGCUGUAAACGAUGCAGGCUAGGUGUUUGGACGGCCACGUGCCGUUCUAGUGCCGCAGGGAAGCUGUUAAGCCUGCCGCCUGGGGAGUACGAUCGCAAGAUUGAAACUUAAAGGAAUUGGCGGGGGAGCAC
RNAcentral lists this ribosomal RNA (811 nucleotides) under uncultured archaeon. Its description in RNAcentral is "bacterial SSU rRNA". It matches the Rfam family "Archaeal small subunit ribosomal RNA", at positions 85 to 879 of the family's 1478-position model. The record is from RNAcentral. RNAcentral also lists the same sequence under 1 other name.